GACAAGGCACACCACCUUUUACGCUCUGAAUCUUCCGUCCCCGGCACUACAAAACGGGGAAAGUCGGACCAACCUAGACGUCUCAGGAAGUCAAGACGUACGGAAAACAAAGAUGCUGCGGGGCGCGCGCGGGGGCGCCAAGCCAGCCUUCCACCAGCGUCCGCCCUGCCCACUCCCGUCUCUGUGCGGUGCCGGGGACACCGCUUCCAACAGAAGCGCCGGCGCUGCACCCAAGCACCCGCGGGAGCAGGGGCUGAACCCGCGGGAGCAGGGGCUGAACGGGGAAAUAGAAGGCGGGCGGCGGAGCCGCCGCGGACCGCCAGGAGAGCAAACACAACCCUGCAGCGCGGCGCGCCCACCAGUCAGGCUGUCGGGGGGAGGGUGGGGGGCACGCGUCCCCAAGCAGGAGAAAAAGGAAGAGAGCAGCUGACCCCGGCCGGGGAAGGCGCAGCUCGGCCGAAGUGCCGCCGAGCUUGCAGAGGCCCGCGCGCCGGAGGGCCGCCCGCACCCCGCCCACCCCCUCCCCGGAGCCCCUUUUCGCAAACCUCUCCGACCCGGUCAGUCCCCGCCGGCGCCCCCAGACUCCCAGGCAGGGCCCAGCCCCCGCCCCAGCCAGUCCCCCCCCUCCCCCUCCGACCCUCCCCCACCCAGCCCCUCUCCGUCUCCAACUCUCCCUACCGCCCCCGGCGUUCUCCGACCCCGGGACCGCAACCCCCUCCCCUUUCCGACCCACCCCACCCUUCCCCCUUCCGACCCUCCCCCUCCCCGCCGCGCCCCCUCGGUCUUCAACUCUCCCCGCCCCCCGCCGGCGUUCUCCGCCCCCCUCCCCCACCCCUCCCCCUCGCCGCCCCCUCCGUCUCCAACUCUCCUCACCCCCGGGACCUGCACCCCCGCCCCCUUCCCUCCCGUCCCCCUCUCCAACUCUCCCCGCCCCGCCGUUCUCCGCCCCCCUCCCUCUUACUUCGCCUCCCCCUCCCCGCACCCCCGCCGUUCUCUGCCCCCGGGACCCACACCCCUCCUCCUUCCCGACGCCCCCACCCCCGUUCGCGCUCCCAGCCCCCGGCUCCCUUUUCAUCCCCUCCUCCACCUCCGCCAUUCCUCCCUCCCCGGGCCCCCGCCGGCCCCCUCCCCGAAGCUCAUCCCGCCGGGCCCCUCCGACGCCUCCCUCCUUGCCCCCCUUGCUCACCUCACUCUCCCAGGCGAGGCCCCCCAAGCCCCCUCGGCACCUCGCGCAUGCGCACAGCGCUCACCAGGACUCCAUGCCCCGGCAGGCUUUGCGCCAAACGCACCUAUCCCCCUCCCCCCAACCCUCCCAGACGCCCCGCGGCCGCUUCCCCCCUGCAACUACCCCGCCGCCCUCACCUAGAACAACAUCUCCCAGGGAGCACCGCGGCAAAGGCGGCCUCUCAUUGGCCCUCGCCUAGGCGACCCCCCCCCCUUGCCUCACGCCCGUCCCCGGAAGGCGCCGCAGGCGCCAGAACUACAUUUCCCAAGAUGCACCAAGGCGCCGCCAGGUUUUGGACUACAUUUCCCACAACGCACACAUACGGGUCUUCGCCCGGGCCCGCGCGCGGGCACCCCACCACCCGACCCCGGGAAGGCGCAGGCGCGCCGAAGGGGCCGAAGGAGGAGGAGCCAGGGCGGCGUUGCCGUGGAAACCGGAGCGGCCCGUCCGGAAACAAGGCCCCUGCAGCCCAGACGUCGGUCGGCGGGGAGGAGGGGCCCGAGCUGAGCUCCGCGCCAAUCAGAGCUGCGCGCUGCGUCUCCUUGACAACGGGCCGCGCGUCAUCCUCCCUCCCCGCCCCACGCGUACGCAGCGGGGUUCGAGUUGGCCACGCGGCCGCGGUGGCGGGCCUCCGGGGGGGGGCUCCCUCCGGGGGCUGGCCAGGGCGCCGUGCUCUGCCGUGUGAGCCUGGUGCGCGGGUCCUAGACUCCGUUUGCCUCCCCGCCUUUGAAUCGGGGAGGGGGCUGUCUACAAGGUCUCGACUGGCCUCCGGGGACCGGGCCGCAGUCUCCCCAUCUCAGACCCGGGAAAGAGAUGCACAGACGGGAACAAGACCGAGGCCGGCCCGGGAGCCGCACGGACCCCGGGCUCAGUCAUCGCCCGGGGCCACACCUCGUGUCCUUGGGAAGGGUGAGGCAGACACGCCCCUCGCCCCCACCUCCGCCUCCGGGGCUGGUGCGCAGACGGGGUGA
Bos indicus x Bos taurus (hybrid cattle) is the source of this 2196-nucleotide long non-coding RNA. Lineage: Eukaryota; Metazoa; Chordata; Mammalia; Artiodactyla; Bovidae. The record is from Ensembl.